AUUGAACGCUGGCGGCAUGCCUUACACAUGCAAGUCGAACGGCAGCACGGGAGCAAUCCUGGUGGCGAGUGGCGAACGGGUGAGUAAUAUAUCGGAACGUGCCCAGUCGCGGGGGAUAACGCCGCGAAACCUGUGCUAAUACCGCAUCCGAUCUAUGGAUGAACGCGGGGGAUCGCAACACCUGGCGCGAUUGGCGCGGCCGAUAUGAGAUUAGCUAGUUGGUGGGGGAAAGGCCCACCAAGGCGACGAUCUGUAGCUGGUCUGAGAGGACGACCAGCCACACUGGAACUGAGACACGGUCCAGACUCCUACGGGAGGCAGCAGUGGGGAAUUUUGGACAAUGGGCGCAAGCCUGAUCCAGCAAUGCCGCGUGCAGGAUGGAGGCCUUCGGGUUGUAAACUGCUUUUGUACGGAACGAAACGGUCCUUUCUAAUACAGAGGGCUAAUGACGGUACCGUAAGAAUAAGCACCGGCUAACUACGUGCCAGCAGCCGCAGUAA
This 500-nucleotide ribosomal RNA is filed under the name uncultured bacterium. RNAcentral's name for it is "partial 16S ribosomal RNA". It matches the Rfam family "Bacterial small subunit ribosomal RNA", at positions 30 to 523 of the family's 1533-position model. The record is from RNAcentral.